AUGAGCAAUGAGGCAAUUCAGUAAAAGGCUCUCCCCUCCUUGUGGCAUCAUUGUGAUAUAAGGGGAGAUGUACUCCUAAGAAGGAAGUAAAAGCAGUGGACCAAUGAAGAACCUACUAGUAUCAUAGUAACCUCAAAUGAAUGUCAAGAGCAGGAGUAAUUUGGGGUGGAAGCGAGCCCUGCUAGAUGCAAGCUUGACCUCACAAUUUCUGAAGAGUGGUACAUUAAAAUAAAGGGAAUGAAAUCAGAUAGCAGUUCUGGCUCACCUUGAAGGGAGGAAGAAGAGCCUCACCCUGAAUAUGUAAUAUAAGGAUAAGAUGAAUGGUGGAAGAUACAGCUACAGCAACAUUCAGCGAUUAUUCUUUAGGAUAAUUCAAAUGAACAACCACUAGAUAUCACUACUGGCCAGCAACAAUUCUCUCCAUAAGGGGAUAUUGUGAUCACUGCACAAAAAGAUGUACUGAACAGAAGAAAUGUUGUUGAAGCUUUGAGGCUGAUCGAUCCUCGGGCAUGGAGACAUGGAUGCUGGAAUAAUAAAGAAUACUGCAUUCAUUCAAAACUG
This is a long non-coding RNA of Sarcophilus harrisii (Tasmanian devil), 561 nucleotides long. RefSeq lists it as uncharacterized. The transcript is spliced from 5 exons. NCBI's taxonomy places the organism in Eukaryota, Metazoa, Chordata, Mammalia, Dasyuromorphia, Dasyuridae. The record is from RefSeq and is a predicted model, not a curated record.